RNAcentral lists this ribosomal RNA (468 nucleotides) under uncultured bacterium. RNAcentral's name for it is "partial 16S ribosomal RNA". It matches the Rfam family "Bacterial small subunit ribosomal RNA", at positions 28 to 507 of the family's 1533-position model. The record is from RNAcentral.
GACGAACGCUGGCGGCGUGCUUAACACAUGCAAGUCGAACGGAAAGGCCCUGCUUUUGUGGGGUGCUCGAGUGGCGAACGGGUGAGUAACACGUGAGUAACCUGCCCUUGACUUUGGGAUAACUUCAGGAAACUGGGGCUAAUACCGGAUAUGAGCUCCUGCUGCAUGGUGGGGGUUGGAAAGUUUCGGCGGUUGGGGAUGGACUCGCGGCUUCUCAGCUUGUUGGUUGGGUAGUGGCUUACGAAGUCUUUGACGGAUAGCCGGCCUGGGAGGUGUACCGGCGACAAGGCUACUGCGGUAGGGCCCAGUAGCGUAUGGGAGGCAGCGGUGGGGAAUAUUGCGCAAUAGGGGGGAGCCAGAGGUAGCAGCGCCGCGUGCGGGAUGACGGCUUUCGGGUUGUAAACCAAUGUGGCCUGAGACGAGGCGGGAGUGACGGUAAUGGGUAAGAAAGCACCGGCUAACUACGUG